This 699-nucleotide ribosomal RNA is filed under the name Arthrobacter sp. RNAcentral's name for it is "bacterial SSU rRNA". It matches the Rfam family "Bacterial small subunit ribosomal RNA", at positions 80 to 793 of the family's 1533-position model. Lineage: Bacteria; Bacillati; Actinomycetota; Actinomycetes; Micrococcales; Micrococcaceae. The record is from RNAcentral.
UUGCACCGGGGAUUAGUGGCGAACGGGUGAGUAACACGUGAGUAACCUGCCCUUGACUCUGGGAUAAGCCUGGGAAACUGGGUCUAAUACCGGAUAUGACUCCUCAUCGCAUGGUGAGGGGUGGAAAGCUUUUGUGGUUUUGGAUGGACUCGCGGCCUAUCAGCUUGUUGGUGAGGUAAUGGCUCACCAAGGCGACGACGGGUAGCCGGCCUGAGAGGGUGACCGGCCACACUGGGACUGAGACACGGCCCAGACUCCUACGGGAGGCAGCAGUGGGGAAUAUUGCACAAUGGGCGCAAGCCUGAUGCAGCGACGCCGCGUGAGGGAUGACGGCCUUCGGGUUGUAAACCUCUUUCAGUAGGGAAGAAGCGAAAGUGACGGUACCUGCAGAAGAAGCGCCGGCUAACUACGUGCCAGCAGCCGCGGUAAUACGUAGGGCGCAAGCGUUAUCCGGAAUUAUUGGGCGUAAAGAGCUCGUAGGCGGUUUGUCGCGUCUGCCGUGAAAGUCCGGGGCUCAACUCCGGAUCUGCGGUGGGUACGGGCAGGCUAGAGUGAUGUAGGGGAGACUGGAAUUCCUGGUGUAGCGGUGAAAUGCGCAGAUAUCAGGAGGAACACCGAUGGCGAAGGCAGGUCUCUGGGCAUUAACUGACGCUGAGGAGCGAAAGCAUGGGGAGCGAACAGGAUUAGAUACCCUGGUAG